RNAcentral lists this ribosomal RNA (480 nucleotides) under uncultured bacterium. RNAcentral's name for it is "bacterial SSU rRNA". It matches the Rfam family "Bacterial small subunit ribosomal RNA", at positions 340 to 787 of the family's 1533-position model. The record is from RNAcentral.
UACGGAAGGCAGCAGUGGGGAAUAUUGCACAAUGGGCGCAAGCCUGAUGCAGCCAUGCCGCGUGUAUGAAGAAGGCCUUCGGGUUGUAAAGUACUUUCAGUCGUGAGGAAGGUGUUAAGGUUAAUAACCUUAGCAAUUGACGUUAGCGACAGAAGAAGCACCGGCUAACUCCGUGCCAGCAGCCGCGGUAAUAACGGAGGGUGCGAGCGUUAAAUCGGAAUUAACUGGGCGUAAAAGGGCACGCAGGCGGUUAAAUUAAGUUGGAUGUGAAAAUCCCCGGGCUUAAACCUGGGAAUGGCAUUCAAAGAACUGGUUUAAGCUAGAGUCUUGUAAGAGGGGGUAGAAAUUCCGAUGUGUAGCGGUGAAAAUGCUAAGGAGAAUGUGGAAGGAAAUAACCGGUGGGCGAAAGGCGGCCCCUGGGACAAAAAGAACUGAACGCGUCAUGUGCGAAAAAGCGUGGGGAAGCAAAACAAGGGAAUU